This 496-nucleotide ribosomal RNA is filed under the name uncultured bacterium. RNAcentral describes it as "partial 16S ribosomal RNA". It matches the Rfam family "Bacterial small subunit ribosomal RNA", at positions 29 to 507 of the family's 1533-position model. The record is from RNAcentral.
AUGAACGCUGGCGGCGUGCCUAAUACAUGCAAGUCGAGCGAACGAACGAGAAGCUUGCUUCUCUGAUGUUAGCGGCGGACGGGUGAGUAACACGUGGAUAACCUACCUAUAAGACUGGGAUAACUUCGGGAAACCGGAGCUAAUACCGGAUAAUAUUUUGAACCGCAUGGUUCAAAAGUGAAAGACGGUCUUGCUGUCACUUAUAGAUGGAUCCGCGCUGCAUUAGCUAGUUGGUAAGGUAACGGCUUACCAAGGCAACGAUGCAUAGCCGACCUGAGAGGGUGAUCGGCCACACUGGAACUGAGACACGGUCCAGACUCCUACGGGAGGCAGCAGUAGGGAAUCUUCCGCAAUGGGCGAAAGCCUGACGGAGCAACGCCGCGUGAGUGAUGAAGGUCUUCGGAUCGUAAAACUCUGUUAUUAGGGAAGAACAUAUGUGUAAGUAACUGUGCACAUCUUGACGGUACCUAAUCAGAAAGCCACGGCUAACUACGUG